RNAcentral lists this ribosomal RNA (877 nucleotides) under Staphylococcus aureus. Its description in RNAcentral is "partial 23S ribosomal RNA". It matches the Rfam family "Bacterial large subunit ribosomal RNA", at positions 361 to 1246 of the family's 2925-position model. The record is from RNAcentral. Lineage: Bacteria; Bacillati; Bacillota; Bacilli; Caryophanales; Staphylococcaceae.
AGGUAAUAAUCCUGUAGUCGAAAAUGUUGUCUCUCUUGAGUGGAUCCUGAGUACGACGGAGCACGUGAAAUUCCGUCGGAAUCUGGGAGGACCAUCUCCUAAGGCUAAAUACUCUCUAGUGACCGAUAGUGAACCAGUACCGUGAGGGAAAGGUGAAAAGCACCCCGGAAGGGGAGUGAAAUAGAACCUGAAAUCGUGUGCUUACAAGUAGUCAGAGCCCGUUAAUGGGUGAUGGCGUGCCUUUUGUAGAAUGAACCGGCGAGUUACGAUUUGAUGCAAGGUUAAGCAGUAAAUGUGGAGCCGUAGCGAAAGCGAGUCUGAAUAGGGCGUUUAGUAUUUGGUCGUAGACCCGAAACCAGGUGAUCUACCCUUGGUCAGGUUGAAGUUCAGGUAACACUGAAUGGAGGACCGAACCGACUUACGUUGAAAAGUGAGCGGAUGAACUGAGGGUAGCGGAGAAAUUCCAAUCGAACCUGGAGAUAGCUGGUUCUCUCCGAAAUAGCUUUAGGGCUAGCCUCAAGUGAUGAUUAUUGGAGGUAGAGCACUGUUUGGACGAGGGGCCCCUCUCGGGUUACCGAAUUCAGACAAACUCCGAAUGCCAAUUAAUUUAACUUGGGAGUCAGAACAUGGGUGAUAAGGUCCGUGUUCGAAAGGGAAACAGCCCAGACCACCAGCUAAGGUCCCAAAAUAUAUGUUAAGUGGAAAAGGAUGUGGCGUUGCCCAGACAACUAGGAUGUUGGCUUAGAAGCAGCCAUCAUUUAAAGAGUGCGUAAUAGCUCACUAGUCGAGUGACACUGCGCCGAAAAUGUACCGGGGCUAAACAUAUUACCGAAGCUGUGGAUUGUCCUUUGGACAAUGGUAGGAGAGCGUUCUAAGG